CGUAUGCAGCCUGUCAUGUGAUCGGCGUGCACUCACCACUGCUCCAGGAAGUGGCAGAGAAAGCACUGGGUGCAGAGGGCCUCUUUCUCUUCUCCUCCUUGGACAAAGACCAUGACCCUUUCCUCAGUUCAAACCAUCACAGAGAAACUCACAGGGAUCACACAUCCAGUGGAUUUUGAGGAGCAAGUGACCGAUGACCCUAAUGGAGAGACCCUAACCCUGGAGUCCAAGAUGCAACCUCUGCAGCUUGACAAAAUGAUGAAGAGUAGACCCAGCAAAACACUCGCAUAAUUACUGGGUUUUGCCUUACUGUGAUUUAAGCUAAAGUUAUUUGUAAUCCAGCUCAAGAAUAGAUUACAUCCUACCUUGUAAACGUUUUACUGCUGU
RNAcentral lists this long non-coding RNA (387 nucleotides) under Oncorhynchus mykiss (rainbow trout). RNAcentral's name for it is "lncRNA (ENSOMYG00000059279.1)". Lineage: Eukaryota; Metazoa; Chordata; Actinopteri; Salmoniformes; Salmonidae. The record is from RNAcentral.